This is an unclassified non-coding RNA of Ictidomys tridecemlineatus (thirteen-lined ground squirrel), 195 nucleotides long. The record is from Ensembl. NCBI's taxonomy places the organism in Eukaryota, Metazoa, Chordata, Mammalia, Rodentia, Sciuridae.
GGCUGAAUCGAGUGCCAUAGCGAGAAUUCCUAGAGCCGGCUGUCCCAAGACAGGGUGCAGAGAGCAAGAGAUGCCUGGGUGGCGGCAGCAGGCCUUAGAAGCAGUGGGUAUUGGGCAGGAAACCUGCCAUGCCUCCAGCCGCAAGGCUGAUGCCAGAAACCCACAGCUUGUCCUGUAGCUCCGCAGUGUGCAUCU